UUUAAAUAAAAAAUUCUUUCCUUUUCCAUCUAAUUUCCUCUAAACAUUAAUAUAGAAUAUCAAAUAUUUUCUUAGUUAAGAUAUUUUUUUUAAGAUACAUAUUUAGAAAAUUAAAUAAGCAUUGAUAUGGAAAUGAAUACUCAUUAGCAGACCAGAAUGAGGCGGUACACAGAGCCUCUAUGUUCUAUCUAUAAAAGGGAAACGAUGUUGCAUUAUCGCUCUCAUUGCCGUCUCUUCUGCCAUAAACAUCGAUUUGUCCGGCUUAGUUUUGCGUGCCUUUCUGCGACGCUCUUCCGCGUCUCAUUUCUGACAACAUCAUCGUUCGCUUCAAAAUUUCCUCUUCUUCCUGCACCGGCUCUUAACAUCUCCUCCAUGUCGUCAACCACCCCGAUGAAGUCGCCGCCGGUCGCCAAGAAGGUGGACCAUGUGAUGGAGUUGUUUCGAGAUGUCAGAGUGGACCACCACUACUGGCUCCGCGAUGACUCUCGCUCCAAUCCUGAGAUCCUUUCCCACCUCCAAGAGGAGAAUGCCUACACCGACUCCUUCAUGUCUGGAACAAAACAAUUUGAGCAGCAGCUUUUCGCUGAAAUAAGAGGGCGAAUCAAGGAGGAUGAUAUAUCUGCACCAAGAAGAAAAGGGCCUUACUAUUACUAUACAAGGACUUUGGAAGGGAAGGAGUAUGUUCAGCAUUGCCGUCGCUAUACAUCUAAUAACGAAGUCCCACCUUCAGUCUAUGAUGUAAUGCCAACCGGACCUAAUGAUCCUCCCGAGCAUGUUAUACUGGAUGAGAAUGUCAAGGCUCAAGGGCAUGAAUAUUACAGCAUUGGUGCUUUCAAGGUUAGUCCAAAUCAUAAACUGGUUGCAUAUGCAGAAGACACCAAGGGAGAUGAAAUUUACACUGUUUAUGUCAUUGAUGUGGAGACUCAAGCUCCUGUUGGGAAGCCUCUGACAGGUGUAACAUCUUCUCUUGAGUGGGCUGGCAAUGAUUUUUUGGUUUACAUCACAAUGGAUGAGAUACAUCGGGCUGACAAGGUGUGGUUGCAUAAGUUGGGGACAGAUCAAUCAAGUGACUCUUGCCUUUAUCAUGAGAAAGAUGAUAAAUUUGGUUUGGAUCUUCAAGCUUCAGAGAGUGAAAAGUAUUUGUUCGUUGUAUCUGACAGCCGAAAUACAAGGUUUGUCUUCUAUAUUGAUGUUUCCAUGCCUGAAGAUGGUGCCAAGUUUUUGACACCUCGUGUAGAUGGCAUUGAUACAUCAGUCAGCCAUCGUGGAAAUCAUUUCUUUGUUCGGAGGAGAACUGAUGAGCUUUUCAAUUCAGAGCUCCUAGCCUGUCCAGUGGACAACAUUUCUGCAACUACAGUUCUUAUUCCUCACAGGGAAAGUAUAAAAAUUUGGGAUGUACAACUCUUUGCUGACCAUCUGGCUGUGUAUGAGCGUGAAAAUGGUCUACCCAAAAUAACAGCAUAUCGCCUUCCAGCUAUUGAUGAGCCACUUACAAGUCUUAAAGGAGGUCGGGCUGUUGACUUCGUUGACCCUGUAUAUUGUGUGGAUUCAGAAGAAUCCGAGUUUUCUUCCAGCAUUUUGAGGUUUUCAUAUAGCUCAUUGAGGACACCUCGUUCUGUGUAUGAAUAUGAUAUGAAUACAGGCACUUCUGUUCUGAAGAAGGUUGACAUAGUCUUGGGAGGUUUUGAUUCAUCUAAUUAUGUUACUGAAAGAAAAUGGGCCACAGCUUCAGAUGGGACCCAGAUUCCUUUGUCAAUUGUUUACAGGAAGGAUCUUGUGAAACUUGAUGGUUCUCAUCCAUUACUGCUUUAUGGAUAUGGUUCAUAUGAGAUGAGCAUAGAUCCCACAUUCAAGGCAUCAAGGCUGUCUUUAUUGGAUCGUAGCUUUAUCUUCGCAAUAGCUCACGUUCGUGGAGGUGGUGAAAUGGGGAGGCAGUGGUACGAGAAUGGAAAGUUGUUGAAGAAAAAAAAUACUUUCACAGAUUUCAUUGCCUGUGCAGAGUAUUUAAUAGAACAGAAGUACUGUUCAAAGGAAAAAUUGUGCAUUGAAGGAAGGAGUGCAGGGGGAUUGCUUAUUGGUUCUGUUCUUAAUAUGAGGCCUGAUUUGUUCAAGGCUGCUAUUGCUGGGGUACCUUUUGUGGAUGUUCUGACUACUAUGCUUGAUCCAAGUAUCCCUCUUACAACUGAAGAGUGGGAGGAAUGGGGAGACCCUCAGAAGGAGGAGUUCUACUUCUACAUGAAAUCAUAUUCCCCGGUUGAUAAUGUUAAUCCUCAAAAUUAUCCCCACAUCCUCGUUACAGCUGGCUUACAUGAUCCACGGGUUAUGUAUUCAGAACCUGCAAAAUUUGUGGCAAAGCUGAGGGAUAUGAAGACUGAUCAUAAUGUGCUGUUGUUCAAGUGUGAACUCGGCGCUGGGCAUUUUUCAAAGUCAGGAAGGUAUAUUGUCAUUUGUUUACAUUUUAAAGGCCUAUUGGAUGAGAAAGUCCUAACGUUUGUGCGAAUUCAUGCUUAUAGCCAAAAUUUUUAAUUGUGGGCAAUAAAGCAGAACAUUUCUAAUUAGGUGAAAUUUUACCCAAAGAGCUAAAUUGAAUUUGGGAAAAUUAAUGGUAAUUUAUUAUAUAGUCCCCAAGAUUUUGUUAAAUCAAGGGUUUAUGUUGUUAAUAAAAUAAAAUCUCAGGAAUUAUAUUGUAAUUUAUUAUUAACUUUUCCAAAUUUAAUUUAGCCUUUUGGCAAAAAUUAUGCCUGAUUGGAAAUGUUCAACUUUGUUGUCUACAAUUAAAAGUUUUGGCUAUAAAUAUGAAUUCUUGCAUAGUUUGGACUUUUUGGUCUAAUAGGCUAUUUUAAAGCUAUUAGUUUUCCACUUUCCAAUUCGGAGGUUGUAUUUCUCCCCUCUUCUUUGCGUGUAUGUGCGCAUGCAUCAUCCAUGUGCACUGCCCAUUAAGAUAGGUUCUUGAAGUGUUUGCUAAAUGUGCAUUUGGUUGUGACUUGUGAAGUGACAACAAUAUAAAUAUUGCAGUAGUCAGAUCUGGGUCUUGGAAAUUUUGGCAUCUCAGGGAAAAGAGGAAGCUGCAAAGAUGAAAGAGUGUUUAAAUGAAACUGGUUGCAUUGUAUUUAUAUUAGUUUAAGCUUACAGUUUAUUUUCAGCUUGUCUCAGAAAUUUUUCUGAUUUAAUUGCUCCACUACCUUGGUCAACAAUGUUUUCUUGCUGUCCAAUUCUUUUGAAAGCACUUCAGAUGCCAUUGGUACAUACCCUUAAUGGCCUAUAUAGAUGAGGAAAAAAGGAGAAAGAAAUCUUUCUUCUUGCUAAUUGUAUACCAAAUCACAUUGCCUGCUGGACUUUCAGAUAGCCUAGAUGUAUCUGAGUUUUGCACCAUCUGUGGUUCACCUACCUGACCUUGCGUUGUUUCAGUCUUAAAUGUUUUCUGCCAUAACUUUUCAUGGUUUUAUAUCUGCUGGAUGAGGCAUACUCCUUACAGUACUUCUGACACAAGUCUCAGAAAAAUGCACCAUGUUGAGUGUUGAUAAGUUUAGUUAACUUUUUCGAAUGUUUGAAUUUGCAAGAAUGGAAGGAGCAACAGUACUGAAAAUGAUGAUACUGUACUUAUAAUGAUGCUAACACAUUUCCAAAGGUGAUAACUAUACUUGUGAUAUUAUCAGUUAACCCUGUUGCUGUUUGUUUGGUACUGAAAGAAUCGUGAUUUACAAAUGUACCAAUAAAAGUGAUGUUAACAUGAUUGCACUUUUUUUUUUUUCUGGGUUAUAUGUAUAUUAUUCAAAUAAAGCUCAAAGAAUUUAUAGAGAGCUUACACACUGUUUGCUUCAAAUCGUUAAGCACUUGCAGAUGUUCUUAAUCACUUAUGAUGCAACAAAUUUUUGCUUGCAGAUUUGAGAGGCUUAAAGAAGACGCAUUCACAUAUACAUUUCUGAUGAAGGUUCUUAACAUGAUUCCCGACCUUGGUGCUGGCCAAAAUUGAUGAAUAUGUGUAUAGGUAAUGCAAAUUCAGUAAUAGCCCAGCUUGGCGAACUAUAUAAGUAGCAUACCAUACAGUAGUUCUAGUGUAGAAGUGUUAUGGGUGCAUACCCGCAUAUAUUCCCAGUUUUUGUGUGGUAGUUGAAAUUGAAAGAGAUGCAUUACCAGUACUGAUAAAUUAAAAUGAUAGGAUUAGCACCUUCUGUCACCGUGUUGUCAGGCGUUAAUCUCAUGUUGAAUACUGUGAAGCUGCAUAUAAACAAGAAUUUAUGUGCAUAUUGCCGCUCUUUUCCACUUGAAGCAAGGAAUGGAGUAGCAUGUGCAAAAUAUGAUUCCAAAUUUUGACUCAUCUUAAAGCCAUUGCCGUGCAAGAAGAAAAGUAAGUUUAGUUCCAUAAGAAAUCCUCAAGUACGAAAUUACAGACUGCAACCUUCUCCAUGGUUUCCUUGGAAACGCAAAUUGGAUGUCAAGUGAAAAGAGAGAUUUUGCCGUCUCAGAAUAUCAAGUGAAAUUUCAUAUGACUUUUUAUAUGCGUACUAACAGAAGGAACUGGAAUUCGUACAAUGUGCAUUUGUGCUAUUAAGGCACUAGCAAAAGUUGUCUUUAUUUCACUAAAACGUAGAGACUAAAAAUACAAUACAUGGAUCAUGUGCACCUGCUUGAGUUGUUCCCUUAAUGUGUUAGAUGAUCAUCUCUUCUGUCAAUAAGAUAAGCUCAUUAUUUUACAAUCAUUAGAACCUCACCAGAAGGGAAGUUUAUGUUAACUUUGUAUGUGAUCAUUCCAAGAAGGAUCCACCAGAGGAAGUUGGUAUUCAUCAGGCUUUAGGGACAAAGCGAAAUCUGGCAAUGCAGGUGCAGUUUGCAGAAUCAUUUCAUUAUUGUAAGGAUCCUCAUUGCUUUGCAUCUUACUCGAUUUAUCUCUUGGAAUCUUCUCAGAGAGAAACUUGCUAGUUCCCCAUAGGGUUGGAUUUCGUGAAACCGGAGGGGUUAUAUGGAAGGAUUCACAGGCCUUGUUGCUUUCUUUACACAACACUUCUGCCGCUUGCUGAGCAGCUAUAGCAGUUUCUUUACAUGUCUCUGUGUUCCCCUCAUCAAGGAUUGAACCAUGAUAAUAGUAUGCAGCUGCCUUGGCUUCAGCAUAUUUCCACUGAAUAAAAAGUUUAUGCUUCUCUCCCCAUCCAUUUGUUAGUGGAAGACCUUCAAUGUUUUCUUGAGCCUGAUGCCAGUACUUUACCAUCUCACAUGCAAGCCUUCUUUUGACGGCCAUUGUGGCCUUGACACUAUCAAUUGCCAUUCCAAGCUGAACAUCAACACCCUGGCCAAGUGCUUGCAAGCAAAGGGCCUGAAGCACUCCCUCUGCAAGAUCUAGUGGUAAAUCUUUCCUGAGUUCUGGAGGAAACUGAGGGAGAACGUGCUGGAUAGAGAAAUUCAAAUAUCCUGCUGCCUUCAAGAAAAUAUCAAUACAAGCUCGUCUCCUUUCUUCUGAUAAUUUUGACAGAUGACCAUCAUUAGAUGUUAUAGGAAGAAGCAAUAAAUUGGCCUGUGAUAAUGAUAACAUGGCCAUCAAGUGCAAAACUGAUAGUACCUCAUACCAGGAGUUUGACAUGGUGGUCUCCUCUGCAGUGUCCUCCUGAUUUAGCCAGGAGAAUUGCAACUCAUGUUUUAGCUGGUUUCCAUUUUCCGCUAGCCCCAACAGGACUGGCAGGUAAUCUUCAAGAGCCUGCUGAAGAUCAGCCAUUGUCGAUCCUCCAUGCUGUGUUGCCGUUCUUCUUGGUUUUGUAGCCCUGGGUGCUUCUUGGCCUGCCAUGACUACAAUACGAGUUCUAAGAGCAGACAGCCUUUCAACCAAAUCCCUGGAUAAACCAUCACCAAAUGGCUGAGUGAAGUCAACUGGUUUAGGGAUCCUCAUCCCAGGAACAAAAACAGCAACCUCCCCAACAUUUCUUGGCCACCUUCCAUUUCCGCCAGAGUUCUUUUGUGUUGAUGCUAGGCACCCCAUAUGGUCAAAAUUCAGUUCCUCGAGUGAAAUAUUGAAAAGAAAUGAGGUGCAUUCAUGCGCCAAUUGCAACUUCAGAGAAGAUGCUUAAACAUGUAAUCCCAAUAAUAAAAUUGUACCAAAUUGACUGAACCAGGAUUCCUUGAUAAAAUUACUGUAAGAAAGAAACAAAAACCAAAAUUGAUUCUUUUCCAAUAAACAAUUGGAUCAAGUGGGAUGAAAACUGGAAGAUCUGCAUUCAUGUGAAGCAAUGGCAACUUUAGAGCACAAAAUCCCAAAAUUGCCUAAUUAUCAUCAAUAAUAUAGAAAAUCAUUGGAUUAAGGGAAUAAACCAUAAUGAUGACUAACUGAAUGCUGACAAAUACAAAGUGGGCAACUCACGAGCGCCCAUUAUAUUUCUAUAGACAUCCAAGAUACAUAAUCCCAAAGGAAUAUCGACCCAAAAUCCUUUCUCGGGUCUUUACCUUUGCGUGUUCUUAUUAGCUGAUGUGAAUACUAGUUUAGAAUUUUAGUAAACUUGCAAUUGAACCCUAAAUCAUUGCAUAUGUGAAUCAUGUCAUGGUUAUAUAUAUGCAUAUCCGAGAUAUUAUAAUACCCAUAUCCAUUUCUGGGACUUCUAACGUAUAAUAACACUAUAAACACAAUCAACCAGUGGGUUAGCAUGAAUAUAACUCACCCCCUUUUCUUAUCAAAGUUGUG
This 6664-nucleotide unclassified non-coding RNA is filed under the name Hevea brasiliensis (rubber tree). The record is from RNAcentral. Lineage: Eukaryota; Viridiplantae; Streptophyta; Magnoliopsida; Malpighiales; Euphorbiaceae.